CCCACCUUGUUUAUUUUUUUUAUGUUUUCUGAUCUCUCUCUUCCUUCUUCUUCGUCUUUCUCCCCCGUAACUCUCCCUUAGCUCUCUCCUUGUCAGCUCUCCCGUCUCUCUCUCCCUCAACCUCUCGCAUCUCUCUCUUCCCCUGGACUCACUAGGACCGAGUCACCAUCGAAGAGAGGCUCGCAACGAACCCCGGACCCUGCCCUGCGAGUUCGACGGCACGGAGUAAGCUCCGGCGAGCACCGCCCCUUUCGAGGCCAUUUCCGGCCAAACCACGGCGAGUUGGCCGGCGUGUAAGGUAUCAAUCUCUUCGUCUCCUUGAGUACUACAACUUUCCUUUUUGUUUCACUCAAUUUCGUUGAAUAUUGAAGAAGUUAUACUCAUUUGAAUCUUACCCAGUUUCCGGCGAGUCCGACGGCUUUCGAGGCAUUUUCCGGCCAAACCACGGCGAGUUAGACGUCGUGUGAGGUACCAUUCUCUUCGUCUCUUCAAGGGCUACAACUUUCAUUGUUGUCUUGCUUGAUUUCGUUGAGUAUUGACAAAGUUAUGGCCAUUUAAAGUUGGGUGGUUUUCCGGCCGAAAUUCCGGCCUUCUCCUUCAACAAACCCAGGCCAUCCGGCCUUUCCCUCUCCCUCGGGCCUUAGGCCCGUGUUGCCUUAGCCCAGUACCCUAACCCAUUCAGUUUUUAUUUUUAGUUAUAUGUUUUUAAAACCCAAAGGGCUCGGGCCCUAGUUUUGGUUGGCCUUGGGCCGGUUUUCAACCAAGGGCUUAAAGCCCUGAUUUCUGUUAGGAGGCCUUAGGGCCUUGUGUAGUGUGUGUGUGUGUGUGUAUGUUUAUAGUAUAUGUAUGUGUUUGGGCUUAAACCCAAACCCCUUUCCUAACCCUAAACCAUUUUAACCCAAAACCUUAGAAAUCCAAACCACCCAUUUUCACCAUAAACCCUUUUAACCUUAGAACCCUAAAAUCAAAACCCAAUAAAUCCUAAUCCUAUUUAACCUAAACCCUAAUCCGGAUUUCAAGCCUAAAACCCGUUAGACCUAAUUUGACCGUUGACAUCCGGUCAACAUUGACUUUAGAGUUGACUUUUCGGGUUUUCGUCCGGGACCCUUCUUAGGGUAAUUCGACGUUCUGAAUCCGUUUCCAACGUCCGUUUUCCCAAAUUCAAUUUCUAUUAUAUAGUUUUAUUAAUUGGACCCUUUAUGUGCUUAGGGGCAAUUAUUGUGACGUUUUCGUCUUCGCUAGUGGCGCAGCUUUUGACAGCGAAGUACUGUGAGUGGACCCAGGGGCGGAUCCACAGUGGGGUCGUCGGGGUCGCACGACCCCUUGGAAACCAUGGAAACAACCUUGAAGCUCCCAUAUGCGACCUCUUGGAGCUGGGGUCGUCAGGGUCGUCGUCAGGAAGAGGAAGAAGAAGACUCGGCAGCGGCAGGAAGAGGAAGAAGAAGCAGCAAGAGCUUGUGACAAUAAACACAACUAGUUGAAGUUGAUGAGCAACAAGAGCUACUGCAACGGUUGUGUUUAUUGUCAUUUUCUUUUUUCUUUUUAUUCCAGGUUGUCAGCCUGCUCUUUGCAUGGUCUUGGCUCUUGGUAGGAGUUUUGAUCACAAAUCAAGAGAUGAGUCGGACAACAAAUGAGAGUGAAGAUGGAGUGCUGUCCAAGGAUCAGAUUGAUUCUCCGUUGAUGGAUGAGAGUAAUGGAGGAAGUGGAAAUGGUGGAAUGGUUCUAAAGAAAGGGACAUGGACCUCGGCUGAAGAUGCAAUUUUGGUGGAGUAUGUUAAGAAGCAUGGGGAGGGAAACUGGAAUGCCGUUCAGAAGCACUCAGGCCUGUUCCGUUGUGGCAAAAGCUGCCGGUUGCGAUGGGCAAAUCACCUAAGGCCGAACCUGAAGAAAGGGGCAUUGACUCUUGAAGAAGAACGUCUCAUUGUUGAACUCCAUGCCAAGAUGGGGAACAAAUGGGCACGCAUGGCUGCACACGUAGUGAUUUCUAUUCGUUAUGUGUGUUCCAGUAGUGAUUUCUCUCAAUUGGAAGGGAUUGAUGAUCUUGCAAAAAAAAUGGUGGAGACAAGGAUGCAUCAAGUAUUCAAUUAUGUAUAUUUGCUCAUUACAUUGUCUUUAGUUUUACCAGUUGCAACUGCUUCAGUGGAGAGAGCAUUUUCUGUCAUGAAUAUUGUUAAGGGUCCACUUAGGAACAAAAUGGGAGAUCAAUGGUUGAGUGAUAGCUUGCUUGUUUAUAUUGAGAGAGAUAUUUUUGCUUGUAUUGAAAAUGAAGCUAUAAUACUUCGUUUUCAAAAUAUGAAAUCUCGUCGUGGACAAUUAUAGUUUGUAAUAUUGUUUCCGUUAUGAAUUAUGAAUGAAAGUACUAUGAUUUCAUUGCCAAUAUGUUUUUCCAUCCUAAAUUUUUAUUUGAACUUUUACACUGCGACCCCUUGGGGUAAGAUUCCUGGAUCCGCCACUGAGUGGACCCCUUCUAAAAUUACAUGAUUUGAUAAUUUAAUUGCAUAAAUGAUUAGCAUGCCUACGGAUUUAUGAUUUGAUUUAUGUGAAGCCUGAUGAUUUAAUAUAUUGAUUAUCGUCUCGUGUUUUUGGUGAGGAAUUAAUUGUUGGCCUAUAUUGAGCUAUAUUUUAAUAUAUCGUAUUUUCUAUAAAAAUCAUGAACUGGUAGACUAUCUGAUUGAUGAUGAUAGGAUGCUAGAACAUGAUUUUGAACCCUCUUUAUAGCGUAGACGAUAAUCGGUAACCUAUGCUACGAAGUGGUAUUUAUGAGAGGCGUAAAUAUUUGUGCGUACCUAGUAGACACUAUGCAUGCCGCCUGGGGCGAGGAUCUGGUGUUGGCAUGUAGGCCGGGAGAAAUAAUCCCUAGCGAAAGGCUGAGGGACACGGAGACUGGCAUUGGGCCCGGGAGGGAGUUAUCUCUGGCUACGGGCACAGAGACUGAGGUGCGGGCAUUGGGCCGGGAGUUAUAUUUAUUCGGUGAUCUUACUAGCAGCACACCGCGUUUACGAGACGAUUUUACGAGAUGUUUUACGCGAUGAUUUAUAUGAUGUUUUCCGCGUUAUGGCUUUUGAGAUAUUUUUUGGCAUGCUAGGAUUUUUAUUAAAUCCAUCACUUAUUAUGCUAGUAGUUUUCAUUUAUAUAAACUUUGGGGGUUAGUAUCUUGAUAACUGUUUUAUUAUUAUUGUAUAUAAACUUGGUCCACUCACCUUUGUUUUGCGCCCCCAUUCAGGACUUAGAAUCAAGGCACCUAAUCCCGACGUGAAGACACUUCCGCAGCAGCAUCUUCGGAUCCUCUCGAUGUAGGACCCACUUCUUUAUUCAUUCAAUUUUAUCUCAAUUCUUUUUAGUGAUUAGGUUUAGUUGUAUGUUCUGAACACGUUCUUAAAAUUAUUAACUCUUAUUUAUUUCUUAUUCUUAGUUUUUGUAUCAAUUAAUGGCUUUCGUCACCCUCGGGUGUCGGCCAGCACGUGUCUAUCCUGGUAUUCGGGGAAUAUCAGGGUCGGGGCGUGUCAGAUUGGAACAUGUUCUUAAAAUUAUUAACUCUUAUUUAUUUCUUAUUCUUAGUUUUUGUAUCAAUUAAUGGCUUUCGUCACCCUCGGGUGUCGGCCAGCACGUGACCAUCCUGAUAUCCCGAAGAUAUCGGGAUCGGGACGUGUCAGAUUGGUAUCAGAGCGUGGUUUGUUCAGAGCAUACUUAGGAUUCUUUUCUAUUCUCUUAAAGUGUUGGUUUUGACAUCAUUUGGAUGUCACGACUUCCGGAUUUUGUGCCAGUCGGCGCAGUUGUGUGAAUCUCUCUCUGAUUGAAUUAUCACCUUUUAGUUGAAAUACAAGAAUUCGUGUCGGGAUUGUGCCUCAACAGUGAUGAAGUGGAUUGUUGGAUGACUUUCGACCUCGGAUCGAUACUCAGACGAUGUGUUUUAGAAAUCUCAAUUUGAAGAAUUCUGGUUAAGACCAGCUGUAGAUUCGAAAUGGCGAUGCCACUCUGCAACAUGCGUUCCCUAGGAAUUGCGGGCGGAGUCGGCUCUACAUCGAAAUCUUGAGAAACUCCUCGGCAGCAGACGCUAUUCUCAUCAAUUUCCAAAAUGAGUUGCAAUUCUUAUUGUUGUUAUAGUUGGACUUGGAUGAUGAAUAUCCAUUCUUGUUUGGAUAAACAGAUUCCUUGAAUUUCACCUGGGUUUGGUACUUGGUGGCAAACUCUAGUUCCUCGUCCGCGUACUUUUCGGGGAAGGUGAACUUAGUCUCUUGCUUACAACCUAAAUGUUCAGCCUUGUAAUUUUCAGUGUAAUGGCUUGAGACUCUAUCAUAUUCAUCAUUGUACGAAGAUCGAACUUUACUCUAAACUUCCCUGGACUCAUUGAGCUUUGGUUUGCUCAAAAGCAUCACUUUAAGGUAGCCAAUUGUGUCACUGCAUGCAUACGCAGGCUGCUUUGUAGCUUUCUUCUUCGUCAUUCUGCUGAUUCAGAGGUUCUAUGUUUAAUUUUUGAACUUUGAAACAGCUCUCACAAAGUAUUGUGAAUCCCGAAAUUUCUUUAGCCUCGUCAAAUUUUAUUAUCAGUCCUUAACUAUUAUUGAGCUUAGUCUUAUUUCCUUUUGACUAAGAAAUCAGUUGACCAUACUGUGAUGAUUUGCAAAAUAAUCAGAAACAGUGACUCUAUUUCUGCAUCUUUACCACCUUCUCGACAUGGCUUCUCGCCUAAUCAGUGAGAAAUCCACGAUCGAUCGUUUCGGUGAAAGUGGGCACCCAGUUCGUGUUGUUUUGGACAAGAAUGUUGGGAGCAUAAUCUUUUCACAAGCUUACCAAACUUAUCAUAAAGAGUUCAUUAUGGGUGUGAAGUUUGAGUUGUCCUUUGGUAGGAGACUGGUGAAGAUUUUGGUGCAGAAGGUCAGCAUAUUGUAUCACCAUCUCACUAGAAUUCAUAGGCAUCACAUCGGUUAUUUUCUAACGAUAUGUGUUCGUCUCAACGCAUAUUUCCACUGCUUCACUUCCGAACCUUAUUGUUGUGAGUACGUGGUUGUUAAAACACUUCUAGCAGAUUUGUUUGGUGCAUUCUGAGAUGGCACUACAGGACGGUCGAAGUGAGAAUUGGAUAAUCUUUACACUUCUCUGGAAAGGUGUGUACUCUCUUUUGUUUUUAGGUUGACCAUUUGCGAGUCGUUCUUCUUUCCACCAACUUUGGCCUUGUUUGACUUGAAAUCUGCAACUAAGCAAAAAUGGAGAGGUGGAUUGAGCACUACAACAGUUCCCAAGAGAUACUGCGUGUUGAGGAAGAUGACUUCUCAUUUUCUGCUUGCUUGGUUCGAGCUUUUGGGUCUACUACUAACAUGGUAGCCACUUCUCUUGAAUCCUAAGGUACAGUUUUCAAAUUGGUUCGUUGUUGGCAAAACACUGGAGUAGUUGGUCACAUUUGGAAGAACUGAGGAGGAUAGGAUGCUUGGUGCUGGAUAGAGUUUUACGACGACAGUUUCUGUUUUGUUCGGUUUUGUGUAUGGCACUUUUUACGACCUGGUACGAUAGUUUUUCAUGGACAACACUGGUUGACUGAAAAGUCUUGCGAACUUGUAUUUGGAGCAUCGAUCCUACGAUAUGUGAAAUUGUACACCAUUUGAGAAAUUACUACUUGCCUAUCGAGACAACAAAUGUGAGGUCGAUAUUGCGGGCUGCAGACUGUGAUAUCGAUAGCUUAUUUGGUGGGUUCGUUAAGCAAGUGGGCAAGAAGAUUCGUCUACAGCAGCUGAUGCAGAUUCAGAAUUUGUAUUUCUUGGGACUCGACCUAAAGGCACAUCUAUUCUCGGAAUAUAUGACAUUUCGAAUUCUUGGGCGAGACCCACUCUCAUUUUUCAGUUUUGGUUUUCAGUGUAAGUAUUUUAACUUCAUUUACUCUAGUUAAUUAUUUUGACGUUACAAAUGUUUUUGGAAAAGUAUUUCUGUUUUCAUUUUUAAGUUGAUUCGAGUUUUUGAACUAUAUGUCAGUACAUAUCUAUUUUGACGUUAUCUGGCCUUAAGCUAUUUUGUGUUUUCAACUUUAUAUUUUAUUAAAGUAUGUGUUCUAUUUUUACACUGAUGAAAAAAAAAAAAAAAAAAAAAAAGUUUGAGCCUGGAGGCACGAAAGAUGGAAUCAUUGCAGCCGAUCGCGACGGCGUGGCAUUUUCCCUUUUGUGAAACCGCUCUUACCUGAUCUCUUCGUUACAUAUAUAUAUAUUAUUCUUCUUCCUAUUUUCAAGUAUUUUCGGUGUAGUAUGUUGUUUUAAAUUUCGAGGACGAAAUUUUUUUAUAAGGGUGGUAGAUUAAAACACCCCAACCCUCUUUUAUAUUUUAAAAUUGUUUUAAAGCCUUAAUUGGUGAGCCCGUGGAGCCCACCUUGUUUAUUUUUUUAUGUUUUCUGAUCUCUCUCUUCCUUCUUCUUCGUCUCUCUCCCCCGUAACUCUCCCUUAGCUCUCUCCUUCUCAGCUCUCCCGUCUCUCUCUCCCUCAACCUCUCGCAUCUCUCUCUUCCCCUGGACUCACUAGGACCGAGUCACCAUCGAAGAGAGGCUCGCAACGAACCCCGGACCCUGCCCUGCGAGUUCGACGGCACGGAGUAAGCUUCGGCAAGCACCGCCCCUUUCGAGGCCAUUUCCGGCCAAACCACGGCGAGUUGGUCGGCGUGUAAGGUAUC
This 6648-nucleotide long non-coding RNA is filed under the name Malus domestica (apple). RNAcentral describes it as "long non-coding RNA (MDOM_LNC004906)". Lineage: Eukaryota; Viridiplantae; Streptophyta; Magnoliopsida; Rosales; Rosaceae. The record is from RNAcentral.